RNAcentral lists this ribosomal RNA (253 nucleotides) under uncultured bacterium. RNAcentral's name for it is "partial 16S ribosomal RNA". It matches the Rfam family "Bacterial small subunit ribosomal RNA", at positions 524 to 776 of the family's 1533-position model. The record is from RNAcentral.
UACAGAGGGGGCAAGCGUUAUUCGGAAUUAUUGGGCGUAAAGGGCGCGUAGGCGGCAUGGCAAGUGGAAGGUGAAAUCCCUCGGCUCAACCGAGGAACUGCCCUCCAAACUGCUUUGCUUGAGUCCGGGAGAGGUGAGUGGAAUUCCCAGUGUAGCGGUGAAAUGCGUAGAUAUUGGGAGGAACACCAGUGGCGAAGGCGGCUCACUGGACCGGAACUGACGCUGAGGCGCGAAAGCGUGGGGAGCAAACAGG